Biomphalaria pfeifferi is the source of this 348-nucleotide non-coding RNA. NCBI's taxonomy places the organism in Eukaryota, Metazoa, Mollusca, Gastropoda, Planorbidae. The record is from the annotation of a GenBank genome assembly.
AGGAAGUUGAUGGGAAAAGUUCAGAACCCAAGUCCAAGAAAAGGAAGAAAUGAAACAAGACAUUUGAUAGGAUUGAAUGAAAUUAGAGAGUGAUAUGUCUCUAUUGCUAUGUAACUAAGUGAAUGAAAUAAAAGUGUGAUUUGUCUGAUGCUGUGAAUAGUUUUUGGCAUUACUUGUUCAGCAUGUUGUGGACAUAAUAUUUUUUUGUUUGCAAUAAUUGUUUUGAGUUUUUAUAAAGUUAUAAACCUGCAACAUAAAUAAGAGAUAUAUAAGAAUGAAACACAAAGAGACAUCUAGUAUUUGAAUAACAGCACAACUCAAGUAUAGUUUCAAUAGAUUUAUCUCAGU